Eriocheir sinensis (Chinese mitten crab) is the source of this 4082-nucleotide long non-coding RNA. RefSeq lists it as uncharacterized. The record is from RefSeq and is a predicted model, not a curated record. The transcript has 3 exons. NCBI's taxonomy places the organism in Eukaryota, Metazoa, Arthropoda, Malacostraca, Decapoda, Varunidae.
AGAGAGAGAGAGAGAGAGAGAGAGAGAGAGAGAGAAAAACCGUCCGUAAAGAAAUAUAUGUGCAUAGCUGAUUGGGAGGAAGAAAGAUUGGAAUACAUAAUCGUUUGUGAAUAAAGAAGGGAGAGAGAGAGGGAGAUGAUGGGGAGAUACAGGUGAGUGAAGUAUACAUUUGAGGCAGGUAGUUCAUCAAGGUGUGUGGACAGGUGUACGGACGGGUGAAACAAUGCACAGGUGAAUGGGUGGUGGUGUGCGUGCGUCCAGGUGUGCCUCGUGUGUGUGUGGCGGCGCGGCGCGGGGCAGGUAACAGAAGGUGACUUAAUGAACGGAGUCUCACCUGUAUGUAAUUAAAGAGCUGCUUUCACCUCCACUUUUUAUGUUCUCUUUUUACUCGCCAGUGAACACGUGGUUUUGUUGACGUUCUCUCUCCUCCUCCUCCUCCUCCUCCUCUUUCUCCUCCUCCUCCUCCUCCUCCUCCUCCUGCUCCUACCGCCGCUCUGAGUCACUUAACGAUGGAAGACGAGGCGACCUUAGCGUGGCGGCGCGUCGUGGUGGUGGCGGUGGUGGCGUAGCGGCGGCGGCGGCAGGCGUGGCCGUGUAUGGAGUAAGGAACCGUUCGUCGGCUGGGUCCGCACGCCCCAGAAGAGGAGGAGGAGGAGGAGGAGGAGGCAAGGUUGAGAGCGUGUCUGGGAUGUCUGAGGUUACGUGGGGAUUUCUGGGUUGUCUUCUGGCGUCAUUGAGGUUGUGGCUUUUGAGGGGCUGGAGAGGCUGGGGAAGGAGUCUGCAUGGGUCGUCUUGGGGUGUUUCCAUAGCUAUUAAAUUUAUGCGAUGUUUAAUUAGGUUUUGGAAUCUUGUGGAUCCAUGGUAUUGUAGUUAGGACGCGUUGAAGAGGCUGGGGAGACGUUAGAAAGCCUAGGAAAUGUCUUAUUGUGUUUGUGGAAGUGUAAUGAAGUGUUUUGGCGGCUGGUAAAGCGAGAUUAUGGAGUGUAGGAGCGCGAGAGGCUGAGAUUCCUGUUUUGAGCAUCUUAUUAGGAGCUGUCGAGGAGGCUGAGGGAGCUGUGUUGUAGAGGCCGGGGAGACGUUAGAAAGCCUAGGAAAAGUCUUAUUGUGUUUGUGGAAGUGUUAUGAGGUGUUUUGGCGGCUAUUAAAUUAAUGUUAUGGAGUGGUCCCGCCUUGAGCAAGUAAGUGGCUGUCGAGGAGGCUGAGGAAGCUGUGAUGUAGAGGCCGAGGAGACGUUAGAAAGCCUAGAAAAUGUCUUAUUGUGUUUGUGGAAGUGUAAUGAAGUGUUUUGGCGGCUAUUAAAGCGAGAUUAUGGCGUGUAGGAGCGCGAGAGGCUGAGAUUCCUGUUUUGAGCAUCUUAUUAGGAGCUGUCGAGGAGGCUGAGGGAGCUGUGUUGAAGAGGCCGGGGAGACGUUAGAAAGCCUAGGAAAUGUCUUGUGGUCGUAUUUUAAAACUUUUCGUCGCCCAAGUUCACAUAUUUGACACUGCUUUCGCGUGAGUUGAGGGCAUUUCCAGGGGUAGUUUUAUGACCCUGGUGGUAGUUUGACCCUUCUCCAGUAGCAUGAGCCUAAAGAAACACGCAUUUGAACCCGAUUGAUCCCCUCUUUGAACUUUAGAAAUAAUGGAUGUGAGAAGCGAAAGUGUCUUAUAAUACUUGCCUUAGUGUGUUUGUGGAAGUGUAAUGAGGUGUUUUGGCGGCUAGUAAAGGGAGGUUAUGGAGCAGCGUUGCCAGAUUAUCGUAUUCACCACAUCGUCUUUAUUACUUUUAACCCUCAAACUCUCGUACCUACACAAAUAACGAUAGAAAAUUGAAGUUAGCGUUAAAACUCCUAUUUAUUGAUGUUUGUUUGUUUGUUUUUGCUAUAGUUAUUGGUCAGAAACUACGAAAAUGCAAUGCGAUAAGUACGAUAGUUUGGCAACGCUGUUAUGGAGUGGUCCUGCCUUCAGCAACUAUAAGCGGCUGUCGAGGAGGCUGGGGAAGAGUUGACAGGUCGGUAUUCUCAGACGCUUCCCUCACACAUCAACAAUAAAAACAUAUUUCCAAAGUCUGAAAUGGACAUAAAUCGGGUCCUUAUGAGUAUCUCUCCUCGUUCAUGUUACAGAAGUGUUUUGAACGUAUUGAGAAGUGGGGCGUAUAUCUUAAAUAUCUGGGAGGCUUGACAUGCAGGCUGGAGUGUCUGAAGGGGCGUGGGGAAGCUGGUGAAGGUUCGUAAUGGCUUGGGAAGUGGGGCACAUCUCUUUAUGUGUUUGGGAGGCUCCACACGCGAGGUUAGGGAGCGUGGGGAUGUAGGAGGCUGUCGAGUGCUGUCUGGGGUGUCUUAAGGCCGUAGGAGAGGCUGGAACGGUUUUAUAAGGGGUUGGGAAAUGGGGCGUAUAUCUUGGGUGUCUGGGAGGCUUCGGGUCCUGGCUGAAGUGUCUUAGGGGCCGUUGGGAAGGCAGGGGAAGGGUUUAUAAGUGUUAGGAAGUUUGGGGCGCAUGUCUUAAGUGUCUUGGUAUCUUAAAGGCCGUUGAAGAGGUUGAAAAAGGCUUUGUGAGGUUUGGGGAAGUCUGUGGCGUAAGUCUUUGGCGUCUGGAAGGCUUGGGGGUCCUGGCCAGGGUGUCUUGGGGCCUUGGAGGGGUGAAAAGGGUUUGGGAAGUCUGUCUGGGAGGCUUGGGGUCCUUGCCAGGGUGUCUUGGGGCCUUGGGAGGGUGAAAAGGGUUUGGGAAGUCUGUCUGGGAGGCUUGGGGGUCCUGGCCAGGGUGUCUUGGGGGCCUUGGAAGGGUGAAAAGGGUUUGAAAAGUCUGUCUGGAAGGAUUGGGGGUUCUGGCCAGGGUGUCUUGGGGGCCUUGGAAGGGUGAAAAGGGUUUGGAAAGUCUGUCUGGGAGGCUUGGGGGUUCUGGCCAGGGUGUCUUGGGGGCCUUGGAAGGGUGAAAAGGGUUUGGGAAGUCUGUCUGGGAGGCUUGGGGGUCCUGGCCAGGGUGUCUUGGGGCCUUGGAGGGGUGAAAAGGGUUUGGGAAGUUUGUCUGGGAGGCUUGGGGGUCCUGGCCAGGGUGUCUUGGGGCCUUGGGAGGGUAAAAAGGGUUUGGGAAGUCUGUCUGGGAGGCUUGAGGGUCCUUGCUGGGGCGUCUGGCUGUGUUGUGGCGUCAUCGUGGAGGCGUGGGCUGCCGGCGGGGCGGGCAAGGACGCGCGUCUCUCGGGCUUACUCAUCGGCAGCGACACACACGACAAAAUUUACUCUUGCGUGAAGGUGAUCUGCUCUGCUUACCAUGGCGUCCCCUGCAACCCCUGACUAGUUCCCUGCCUUGUGUUGCCCCCUGCCCUCCCUCCCUUCUCUCCUCCCUCUUCCUCAAUACCCCCUUCUCCCUUGCGUUCUGUUCCUCUUCCAAAACCUUCCUCCUUCCCUUCUCUCCUCCUUCUACCUCAAUACCCCCCUCUCCCUGUUCUCCUAAAUUCCCUUGCGUUCUGUUCCUCUUCCAAAACCUUCCUCCCUCCCUUCUCUCCUCCUACCUCAAUACCCCCUUCUCUCUUACCCUCUCCCUGUUCUCCUAAAUUCCCUUGCGUUCUGUUCCUCCUCCAAAACCUUCCUCCCUCCCUUCUCUCCUCCUCCCUCUUACCUCAAUACUCCCUUCUCCCUUACCCUGUUCUCUUAAAUUUCCUUGCGUUCUAUUCCUCUUCCAAAACCUUCCUCCUUGUUCUCCCUGUCUUCUUGCCUCUGAAUUUCCCCCUGCAACAACUCCUCCCCUUAUGCUAACAUCCUGCCCCUGUACUCCCAUUCCUGUGUCCAUCUCUUCCAGCAUCCUUCUGUUUCCUUCACUCCUUAGCUCUUUCCUCCUCUUCCAGCAUCUUACUCUCUCUUCUCUUCGCUUCUUCCACUGCCUCUCUCUUCUUUGUUACCUCCUCCUCUUGUAUUACCAUUCUUUUUCCUUCUCUUCUUUACCUUUCCCUCCUCUUCCAUCCCCUUACUCUCUGCUCCCUUCUGUCCUGCUUCUCUCCUCCUCUCCUCCGUUUCUUCCUCCUCUUCCAACACUCUUCUUUUCCUUCUCUUCUUUAGUCUUCCCUCUUGUUGCGCCUUACUCCUCCCAUCUUGUCUCUAUCCUCCUCUUCU